This is a non-coding RNA of Pimephales promelas (fathead minnow), 1248 nucleotides long. Lineage: Eukaryota; Metazoa; Chordata; Actinopteri; Cypriniformes; Leuciscidae. The record is from RefSeq and is a predicted model, not a curated record.
CAGGUCUUCACCUCGCAGGAGCCCGAAACACCGUGGCACUUGCAUUCCACUCGCAUGUGGUUCAGAAUCGCCUGGGGAUGGUUCAUUAGGGCUCUGUUGGAGGACUGGCCUUUACUUCGUUCCCUGAUGUCCACAAACGACGUGGAAAAAGCAACCCCAUAUGCAAUAUUAUCUGAGCAUCCUGACCACUGGAAACCUGUCGAGAUGAAGACGGUCGAGUGGAGAAGGUAGUGAGAAAUCUGCCGUUUUAUCAGUCCAUAUGGAGACAAAGUUGUUUGCAAGGGACACUCUCCAGCGUGGAGCAGUUCCAGCGGCGGUUGCGGAACUGAAACUGGCACUCGUCGAUGGCGAGCUGGGCUCCCCUGCGGACCGCGUCCAUCACCUCCACGUUCCGCUUGCAGAUCUGCACCUGCCUCUGGAUGAGUCCUCGGAGCUUCUCACAGGUUUCUUCAUCAGAGAUGCUCCCCACUGAGGACAGCUUUGCCAGCACAAACAGCACAGAUCUGAACGCUGCGGCUCUCCUGGGACGUUCUUGGAAGGCUGUGCUCGACAGAAGAGGUACGGCUGAUGUUGAGAGAGGCGGAUAGAGACUAUCUUCACCCAUCACCUCCAGGGCCAGGGGGUCGGGGCGACACCAUCGCUUUAAUGGGUCUGCCGAGCUCCAUCUCUUAAAGGCACCUUAUAAAAAUAGUCCUAUACUACAACGCAGCGCACAGAUUUCCUCCGUACACACCAAGCUUGCUCUCAUUAUCAUCAAGAACGGGUGGAGAUCAAAGUCUUGACUGUUUAAGUUCUGCACAGAUGCAUUUAGCGGGUUGCGUGCAGGUGAUGUUUGCAAGAGUACUCACGGACAGCUUUGUUUGGUGUUAUUUGUCUCUAAAGGUCUUUUGGUGUGGUACUGAGUAAUCCGAAAGUACGCCCAAAUGUAUCUCGGAUGAAAGUCUCCGGACGGCUUUGAAGUAAAUGCUAAGUUCACUGCGAUGCCAUUGUUGGACCUCAAAGACCCAUUUAUUCCUAUAAAGAACAUUUUAAAAUUCAAAGAAACUUUUUCCACCGUAAAGAACCGCUAGUUUAGACGCUUUACAAGUUAGAAUUUGUUAACACACCAACUAACAAUGAUAAAAGUGUUUUUCUAAACUGUUUAUUAUUCUUAGUUAAAGGAGUAGUUCACUUUUAAGAAAACUUUUGCUGAUAAUUUACUCACCCCCAUGUCAUCCAAGAUGUCCACGUCUUUCUUUCUUCAGUCGA